ACACACACACACACACACACACACACACACACACACACACACACACACACACAGAGAGAGAGAGAGAGACACACACACACAGUCUAAUUACUCCAUGUGCUGAUUUCCUAAGUGGUUCCAUCCAGGUUUCUAGCUUCAAGCUCCUGGCAACCCUCGUCACAGAGGCCCUCAACCCUCAUCACAGAGGCCCUCACAUCACAGAGGCCCUCAACCCUCAUCACAGAGGCCCUCAACCAUCAUCACAGAGGCCCUCACACCUCAUCACAGAGGCCCUCAAACCUCAUCACAGAGGCCCCUCAACCCACAUCACAGAGGCCCUCAACCCUCAUCACAGAGGCCCCCACAUCACAGCGGACCUCAACCCACAUCACAGACAAUCUACCCUCAUCUCAGUGCCAC
Clupea harengus (Atlantic herring) is the source of this 399-nucleotide long non-coding RNA. Lineage: Eukaryota; Metazoa; Chordata; Actinopteri; Clupeiformes; Clupeidae. The record is from Ensembl.